CAGGAAAGCCGAACGACCGCGUUGGGAAACCGAUGAGGAAAGUCCGGGCACCACAGAGCAGGGUAACGGAUAACAUCCGCCGAGGGUAACCUCAGGACAAGUGCAACAGAGAUAUACCGCCUGUCUUCCUGACAGGUAAGGGUGGAAAGGCGGGGUAAGAGCCCACCGAACUCCCGGGUAACCGGGAGCUCCUGUAAACUCUAUCCGGUGCAACACCCGAAUUGCCGGCACCCUUCGGGGUGCAAUGCUUGCUCGGCAUGGCAGAGGUCGGUGGCAUGAACCUUCCGGCAACGGAGGGGCUUAGAUAGAUGGUCGUUUAAGACAGAACCCGGCUUACAGACUUUCCUGCUUU
RNAcentral lists this RNase P RNA (352 nucleotides) under Oscillospiraceae bacterium. RNAcentral's name for it is "RNase P RNA component class A". It matches the Rfam family "Bacterial RNase P class A". Rfam says of the family: Ribonuclease P (RNase P) is a ubiquitous endoribonuclease, found in archaea, bacteria and eukarya as well as chloroplasts and mitochondria. Lineage: Bacteria; Bacillati; Bacillota; Clostridia; Eubacteriales; Oscillospiraceae. The record is from RNAcentral.